This is a long non-coding RNA of Scylla paramamosain (green mud crab), 723 nucleotides long. RefSeq lists it as uncharacterized. The transcript has 2 exons. NCBI's taxonomy places the organism in Eukaryota, Metazoa, Arthropoda, Malacostraca, Decapoda, Portunidae. The record is from RefSeq and is a predicted model, not a curated record.
UCAAAGGGAAAAGCAGUCUUGAAAACCCGUGUGAUCAUCAUUGUGUCCUUUGAAAACAGUCUGGUGUGAGAGCAAAGCUUUUUUUCAGAAUACAGGCACAUAACCUGUCUUCAUGAAAAACAAGUGCCCCUACAUAAUUUAUGGCCCACAUAGCAUAUUGCUAUAUGUGUUUACGAAGGAGUUUACUCCUGUAUAUUAAGCCGAAGCCAGGCAUGGUCACUAAGGUCGUAUGCACAUUCGAACGAAUGUGGGGUACUCGUCUAGCCCCGCCUACACCCGCCUACAAGCACAACAACCAUCAACGAUGUCAGGCAUGUUGCUCCAUUGCCCACGUGGAUGCAGGACGGCAUUUGUUCUUCGCCUCGCUACAUUGUACAGGAGUGAGAGGACCCGUGGUGCAACAUACAUAAGUCUGAAUAGGCCAUAUGACCGGGUUGCGCACACCAUGGGCAUGACGGUGAGAGGAGUGAGGCAGAUGGUCCACCGCGCCAACACAUCUUCCCUUUCCAAACCGGCAACACCAAUUACACCGACCGUCUUUGACGAUCAUAAUACUUUCAUUUCAUAAAAAUAAUACAAUGUAUAACAUACAGUAACUUCAUAAUAUCCCACAGCAUAUUUUGUAUAUUUAUUGCCUCAAAUGUACUUGAUAAAGAAAGCUACAACGCCAUUAUUACCAUUAGGCAUCAAUAAACAAAGAUGCAGUGAUGCAGAGAAGAACAA